This 679-nucleotide ribosomal RNA is filed under the name uncultured bacterium. RNAcentral's name for it is "bacterial SSU rRNA". The stretch from base 8 to 459 matches the Rfam family "Bacterial small subunit ribosomal RNA", at positions 35 to 539 of the family's 1533-position model. The record is from RNAcentral.
AACGAACGCUGGCGGCGUGCCUAACACAUGCAAGUCGAACGAAGCACUGUGGAAAGAGACUUCGGUCAAUGGACACUUUGACUUAGUGGCGGACGGGUGAGUAAUGCAUGAGCAAUCUGCCCUGGAGUGGGGGACAACAGUUGGAAACGACUGCUAAUACCGCAUGAUGUUCCGGGAGGGCAUCCUUCUGGAACCAAAGAUUUAUUGCUCUGGGAUGAGCUCAUGUCUGAUUAGCCAGUUGGCGGGGUAACGGCCCACCAAAGCUACGAUCAGUAGCCGGACUGAGAGGUUGAACGGCCACAUUGGGACUGAGAUACGGCCCAGACUCCUACGGGAGGCAGCAGUGGGGAAUAUUGGGCAUGGGCGCAGCCUGACCAACACGCCCGUGAAGAAGAAAGCUUUCGGUUGUAACUUCUUUUACCAGGGCGAAGAAAGUAAAGUACCUGGAGAUAACAAAGCUACUACUGCACAACCCCGCAUACUUAAUGGAAGGUGUCUCGAUUCUGGUGUAUGAGAGCGGAGAGAGCUAAUGGGUACGUGGUAACCUCUUGCGAGAGAUUUGGAGAAUAAAAAGGUUUUCAAGCAUGUGCUGUAUGCGGAUGUAUGUUAUGUAUGUAUGAUUAUGGUGUGUUGUGUAUGUAUGUGUGUGACUGUGUUUGUGUGAGCAUGCAUCUACGCU